UGGGCUGGGUAAAAUUCUUCUCUUCUUCACCCUUUAAUUUUAGCCCAUCCGAUCCUUUAUUUUAGGUCCUGGAAUCGUGAGAACUCCCAGUCCCUUGGCACAUCCCUCUGAAUCACUGACGUUCGGUGGCCACCUCCACCCAUGCCUGUCCCCUGCCUGCUCCCUCGCCGGGUGUCAGUUCUCGAGCCUACGUGCUGAGAAGAAAAGUUAAAAAGUGUCCCCAGCCAACAUGGAAGGAGCAGAGGAUGGAUGGCCCCAGGUACCCCCUGUGAUACCAGAAGUGCUCGUGGGAGCAUUUCACACAUCUCUGACCUGCAGAGGAUGAAGGACUCUUCCCCAUACUCAAGGGGAUCCGGCUGGGCUGCAGGAGCACAAUGGGGAGCAGCCAGGUCAUAAGAGUGAGAAAUGUCACUUUGCAGUGAGGGGAACUCUGGGCUGGAGAAUGAGAGAGUCCCCUGAAAUAGCAGGUGAGCUGGAGCUGGGGUCUGGGAUCAGAUGCUAUUAUUUGGGUUUGACUGGGGCUGGAGCCCACUCACUGCAGG
This 542-nucleotide long non-coding RNA is filed under the name Coturnix japonica (Japanese quail). RNAcentral describes it as "lncRNA (ENSCJPG00005021265.1)". The record is from RNAcentral. Lineage: Eukaryota; Metazoa; Chordata; Aves; Galliformes; Phasianidae.